GGUGGUUCUUUGGUGAUGCACCUCAAAAUUGAGCUCCCUCCUCUCUGGUUCCGAGUGCUUCACCUGAGAACUGCA
Non-coding RNA from Myotis lucifugus (little brown bat), 75 nucleotides. The record is from Rfam. Lineage: Eukaryota; Metazoa; Chordata; Mammalia; Chiroptera; Vespertilionidae.